UUUCCAACGCUGCCCUCGCUCGCUCGCUGCUGCUACUGCUGCUAACCACCUCCCCCUCCACGCUCACAACUUGCGCUGCUGGCCGCUGCCUGCGCAGGUCGACGCGCACAGCUCCGCAGGUUCGAGUCCAGAGGGAGGGCAGACGCAGUCCUCUUGCAUUCCUAAGUCCAGCAAACGCGCUCUUUAAAAACCAGGCGCCACAUUUCUAUAGCUCUUUAGAAUCUUCCAAGUUCUUCAGAACCAUCGUCGUCGUAGCUAUCCCCCUACAACAACCCUGGAAGGUUGGCAGGAGCAGGGACCAAGCAACAGGAGCUCACCCCGUCACGGGGAUUCGAACCGCAGACCUUCUGAUCGGCAAGCCCUAGGCUCUGUGGUUUAACCCACAGUGCCACCCGCAUCCCAUUCAUGGCUUCUUAUCUCACUGCAAAGCAACAUGGCGAGGGGCCAAGGGAGCUGGUGUUUGUCCACAGACUGCUUUCUGGGUCAUGUGACCAGCAUGACUAAACCACUUCUGGCACAACGGGACACUGUGACGGCAGCCAGAGCGCAUGGAAACACUGUUUACCUUCCCACACUGGCAUGCUUUUGAACUGCUAGGUUGGCAGAAGCUGGGACAGAGCAAUGGGAGCUCACCUCAUCGUGGGGAUUCGAACUGCUGCCCUUCUGAUCGACAAGCCCAAGAGGCUCAGUGGUUUAGACCACAGCACCAUCUGCAUUCAGCCAUUACACAGAGGCAAACCCAGGUUUGGUGGAUGCAGCCAAUGAAGAGCUCCCAGAUGGCUGGGUGUGCUGGGAUAUCAUGCAAGUUUCCAAAUACGUUGCUGCAUUUACACUGUACAUUUUUAGGCAUUCACUUAACACAUCUUAGGUGACAUAAACCAGUCCAUUCUCCAUAAGGGCUCACCAUUGGCUUGACCCGAGUUCAUUAUCUUUAAAUGGGGUUGAUAGGAUGUGAGAGUUAACAAGGUAGUGACAAUUACGGUAUGCUAUUAUACAAUAAUUAAUGCAACAUUUACAUUUUCCUGUUAGGAACUGCUUGAACAAAACUGUCUGCUAAUGAUUUAAAUUAGCAUUUAAAAAAGACUUCUAUUGAACACUCACAACUAUCAUUGCUGCAGAAUAACAUAUAUAUAUAUGUAUAUCACUGAUUAUAAAUACAGAGAGAGAGACAUGGGGAGAGGGAGAGAGAGAGAGAGAGAAAUGAGGGAAGCAAAAUUUACUGUAACAAACAUUUGUUAUUCAAAUGUUUCUGACAUGGAGUCUAAUUGUGUUUGCAUAUCACUGUCAUGUAAAUAAUAUCACUGAACCUCAGCCUAAAAUGGUGCUAGCAUUCUGGAAAAAAAAGAUACAUAAAGAGAACGAGACAAUUUUGCUUGGCUUGACAAGUCUUUCACAUUACCCAUAUACUGUAUGUUUUAAGUUAAACCAAAAUAUAGCCAGGGGCAGACAGGAGUUUUAGCAGUGACCACCGUAAUACUGAGUAUUUUUAAUUACUGUAACAAUAAAUCACAGAGGAAUGUCCUCCAGGAGUGAAAUAAUUUUCUUAAAAAAAGAAAAAAGCCCAACAUCUUGGAAUAUUUCUGAAAUUCAAUUAAUUGAAGGCACCAGAUAAAAGGUACAAGUUCUUAAUGGUUGUAAAGGAACCCUAAGGGAUGGAAGCGAGCUCUCAGCUCAACUUCAAAGUGUGACAGAAAUACUUACAGUAUUACUUUAAAAAGUAUUCAGAUCAAUGAAUCAGUUAAAAUUACUUAUACAUUUAAGAGCCUUUUCAUUUUCUCUUUUUGAGCUGGAGAGACAGAAGUGCUCUCAUUUCCUGCGAUACAAAAAAAAGA
Zootoca vivipara (common lizard) is the source of this 1832-nucleotide long non-coding RNA. RefSeq lists it as uncharacterized. NCBI's taxonomy places the organism in Eukaryota, Metazoa, Chordata, Lepidosauria, Squamata, Lacertidae. The record is from RefSeq and is a predicted model, not a curated record.